GAAGAAGAACGUAGCGAAAUGCGAUACGUAAUGUGAAUUGCAAAUUCAGUGAAUCAUCGAGUCUUUGAACGCACAUUGCGCCCCCUGGUAUUCCGGGGGGCAUGCCUGUCCGAGCGUCAUUGCUGCCCUCAAGCACGGCUUGUGUGUUGGGCCCCGUCCUCCGAUCCCGGGGGACGGGCCCGAAAGGCAGCGGCGGCACCGCGUCCGGUCCUCGAGCGUAUGGGGCUUUGUCACCCGCUCUGUAGGCCCGGCCGGCGCUUGCCGAUCAACCCAAAUUUUUAUCCAGGUUGACCUCGGAUCAGGUAGGGAUACCCGCUGAACUUAAGCAUAUCAAUAAGCGGAGGA
Molecule: unclassified non-coding RNA, 345 nt
Filed under: soil metagenome
Description: partial contains 5.8S ribosomal RNA, internal transcribed spacer 2, and large subunit ribosomal RNA
Rfam family: 5.8S ribosomal RNA (bases 1-119)
Source: RNAcentral